Molecule: long non-coding RNA, 172 nt
Organism: Cydia splendana
Lineage: Eukaryota; Metazoa; Arthropoda; Insecta; Lepidoptera; Tortricidae
Exons: 2
Source: RefSeq, a predicted model, not a curated record
AGUAAGGUUGCCAGAGCUCAACGAGGGUGCGGAGUGUUAGGAUCGGCAACGCGCAUGUAACAUCUCUGGAGUUGCAGGUGUCCAUAGGCUACGGUGACUGCUUACCAUCAGGCGGGCCGUAUGCUUGUUUGCCACCGAUGUGGUAUAAAAAAAUAAAAAAUAAAAAUAAAAU